Molecule: ribosomal RNA, 301 nt
Filed under: uncultured bacterium
Lineage: Bacteria
Description: partial 16S ribosomal RNA
Rfam family: Bacterial small subunit ribosomal RNA
Source: RNAcentral
CAGUCGCCACGGGAAUACAGAGGGUGCGAGCGUUAAUCGGAUUUACUGGGCGUAAAGCGUGCGUAGGCGGCUUCUUAAGUCGGAUGUGAAAUCCCUGAGCUUAACUUAGGAAUUGCAUUCGAUACUGGGAAGCUAGAGUAUGGGAGAGGAUGGUAGAAUUCCAGGUGUAGCGGUGAAAUGCGUAGAGAUCUGGAGGAAUACCGAUGGCGAAGGCAGCCAUCUGGCCUAAUACUGACGCUGAGGUACGAAAGCAUGGUGAGCAAACAGGAUUAGAUACCCGCGUAGUCCCUGUCUCUUAUAA